This is a non-coding RNA of Punica granatum (pomegranate), 2113 nucleotides long. The record is from RefSeq and is a predicted model, not a curated record. Lineage: Eukaryota; Viridiplantae; Streptophyta; Magnoliopsida; Myrtales; Lythraceae.
AACUUCCAGCCUGGUCUGGUCCCUUUCAAUACUUUUCACACUAUUGGGCAUUUGCUGCUCAAGCGAUGCAAAUCUCUGUCUCUGCUCCUCCCGCCUUUUUCCUUGUCACGAAUUUGAUCGGUUCCAGUUUUCGUGGAUGCUAGAGAAGAUGCGCCGGGCAAUCUCUCUCAGAUGGAGAUUGGAUUCCGUAGCUCGAGACGCUGCGGGGUGCCCUUUGAGAGUUCCUUCUUAGGGGGAAUUCCCUGAUUCUUGGUUGCUCAGCUCUAUAGAAGCACUACAGGGAGAUCCUCCGAUCCUUACUAUCAGCCAGGGGAUUGACGGGACUGGACGAGUAAAAUUCGUGCUGUUGGAUGCCGAGGUUGAGGUCCUCACUGCAAGGCAAGUGCUGCUUAAGGGAAGCACUUUAUGCAGUCUCUGGUCGAGGCUCUCGGUUUCACAGCCUUGAGCUCUCUGAACGCCCGAAAGAUCUCUGCCCCUCUCGUUAUCUACUACUUACUACCCACUCUCAGACUCCCAUUUCAACCGCAUCUAGAAUCAUUCUCUACUAUCCUAUCAGCUAAAGAGAAGAGAGUGGGGGAAGAAAGCGUUGACACGCAUAGCUCUACGGGCAAUGAGUAUUCAAACAAUCUCCAAUAUUGCAUUUGAGGUGAAAUGUCGUCUCUUGUAAGCAUCUUCAUCCACGAAAACAGGAUCUUGACUUCUCUGUAUCGUUGUCCGACAGUGAAGUCAUAGUCAGAUAAUACAGCAUUCCAAGGGUGACGCUGACUAUGGACAGGGCAGCUCCUCCAGCAAAGAUUCCAAGUUUUACGACAUAGCAGUAGUAGUUCCCAAAGUCGGUGCUAUUCUCACCGUGUCUCUCAUUCAUGGCAGCUGCUGUCAGCAGCAAGAAAAAUGCUACAGCAAAUGUGAACCUGCAUUACAUUAGAGCGCAUUAUGAAUGUUUUACUUCAGUAUAAGCUUAAAAGAUAUUGGAUAAACAUGAACAUGGCGAUGCACAACAAUAACAUGACAGUUAGGAGCUGCAGUAACUGGAUAGGGAAAUGAUGAAACCAAGAUUGAUAGAACAAGGAAGCUCCCAGGGGCUCAUGGGAGUUUUCCAAUCCAAAUUACAAAAAUAAACCGUCUCGUAAAGUCAAAAGAGAGGACAUACAACAACAUGAUGUUACAGAAGCAUUUUGCCCUUGUUGUAAUUCAGGUCGUCUAAUUAGUCGCAUCGCAUUGAAAAUUUUGGUGGAAUAGGCAUCCAUUCAGAUUAAGUGUCGCUACUUAUUUGCUGUUUCCCAGGAACCGGCCAACCAACCUACUGCUAUUGUCCAACUAGAGCUGGAGAGAUGAGGGCUCUUGUUGCAGCAAGUACACCCAGUUCCCAGAUUAAUAAUUAUCUGAGCUAUCACGAGAGCCAUUGCAGCUGUUAAACCGAGAGCUAGAGCAGGACUUUGGGGACGAGCACAUUGUGUAGGCGCUAUCAACUGCACUGUGGAACCCUGUGCAUUGGAGAGGUUGGGUGUCAUUUGAUUGUAAGGAAGGCAAGUCAUACUUAUCAAUAGGUGAGACUUAUCGACCACAGAAGAAACAGAUAUCAGAAAGGAGGAGCAGUGUUUCAAAAUGCAAGAACAGAAAUGUGAAAUUCAGAGAGCUUAGAGCAUGAAGUCUGAUCAAUGCCGAAGGGAUAACAUUUGGAGUGGCAGAGGAUGAACCCUCCCAUGGUCGGUAUUAACAAAAGAACAGCAAGUGUUCAACAGUUUUGCUUGAAACCAGUUAGCAAAGUGGAUAGUACUUUGAUCCGGGUGGCCUCGGCAGCGAAACCUGUGGCAGUAAAAAAGAGCCAAAAACCACCACAACAAACGAGCAGAGAGUUUCUCUCCAGCUCUUUUUUUAAUAUAUUUAUUUUGGGGUCAGAAACAGGAAUUUAACAGCAGUCGGGGGGAAAACCUCGUUACAGAAAACGUCGAGUUGGUCUUUGGGAACUUAUUUAUUUAUUUCUUCUUUUGAUAGAUUAGGGCAAGCAUUCUUCAACUCUGAAAAAGGGACAAAAUCUGGCCCAAAAAAGAAAAAAGAAAAGGAAAAGGGACAAAAAAGGAGUAUGAGGACAUGAAGAAACGUAUUUAAUUCU